AUUGAACGCUGGCGGCAGGCUUAACACAUGCAAGUCGAGCGGGGGAAGGUAGCUUGCUACCGGACCUAGCGGCGGACGGGUGAGUAAUGCUUAGGAAUCUGCCUAUUAGUGGGGGACAACAUCUCGAAGGGGAUGCUAAUACCGCAUACGUCCUACGGGAGAGAGCAGGGGAUCACUUGUGACCUUGCGCUAAUAGAUGAGCCUAAGUCGGAUUAGCUAGUUGGUGGGGUAAAGGCCUACCAAGGCGACGAUCUGUAGCGGGUCUGAGAGGAUGAUCCGCCACACUGGGACUGAGACACGGCCCAGACUCCUACGGGAGGCAGCAGUGGGGAAUAUUGGACAAUGGGGGGAACCCUGAUCCAGUCAUGCCGCGUGUGUGAAGAAGGCCUUAUGGUUGUAAAGCACUUUAAGCGAGGAGGAGGCUCUUUUGGUUAAUACCCAAGAUGAGUGGACGUUACUCGCAGAAUAAGCACCGGCUAACUCUGUGCCAGCCGCCGCAGUAA
This 503-nucleotide ribosomal RNA is filed under the name uncultured bacterium. RNAcentral's name for it is "partial 16S ribosomal RNA". It matches the Rfam family "Bacterial small subunit ribosomal RNA", at positions 30 to 523 of the family's 1533-position model. The record is from RNAcentral.